UUGUUUUUCAGAUUGUAUCUGUCAUUCUGCAUUUUUAUCCCAAAAAUUCAACGUAUCUUGGAACUGAUCCUUUUCUGGUUUACACAGAUGAAGAUCAGGAAUAACUCUAUCAGAAUCAAAGACACCAGUCCUUCUGGCCACAGUUUCUGAGAGCUUCUCAGCAAGGCACAGAGCUCAGCUGGACUUGGCUGUGACACCAGGCUAUCAGCAUCAGCCUUAGCAACAUUGCCCCAGCAUCCUCGAACUGAGCUGGGGGACCUCUGAGAACCAGAUCAACCUUUGUCAGUGUUUUCUUAGGCCCUGAGGAACAGAUCAAGAGAAAUGCCAGAGAAAGAGCAUGAGGAGGGAAGUGAAUAAUGUCUGAUCUUUAUAACAGACAGAUUCUGAGCAAUGGUGUUCAUCUGCAUGUUCAGUUUUUCUUCACAUGAAAGAGGAGGUAUUCUACAGUCUAGAUGUUGAUGUCUUUACUCAGUUUGGAGCAGAUUCUACAUGUUACUUCUCUGAGAUUAAUGGAGAAAGCUAAAUAAGGGUAUCAAGCUCCUAUUCCAUGAUUCUUUAUAGUUCUCU
Molecule: long non-coding RNA, 567 nt
Filed under: Dromaius novaehollandiae (emu)
Lineage: Eukaryota; Metazoa; Chordata; Aves; Casuariiformes; Dromaiidae
Description: lncRNA (ENSDNVG00000005158.1)
Source: RNAcentral